Long non-coding RNA from Equus caballus (horse), 4007 nucleotides. NCBI's taxonomy places the organism in Eukaryota, Metazoa, Chordata, Mammalia, Perissodactyla, Equidae. The record is from Ensembl.
CUGGGUUAGGACCCUUACUCCGGGCUUCCAUGGCCCUCUCUGCAGCACUUGCCACCUGCAGUAAUAAUAAUAGCUGAUACUUAUUGCGUGCUCACUCCAUGUAUUUUUCUUUAUUGACCCAUUUAACCCUCACAACCACCCAGAGAGCCAGGUUCUGUGCUCGCCUCCAUUUUUCAGACGGGUAAAAGCUUAAGUAAAUUGCCCAGGGUCACCCUCCUUGGGGAUUCGCCUCCAGGGUGGCUGGCUCCAGAGAGCUCGCCUCCAAUCCUGAGAGCUCCUCCUGCCGCCCUGAGCGAAUGUGCUGGGUGGGGGGGGGUGUGGGGGGGGGGAGGAUACUCUCUAGACUCGGGGAUCCGGGAGGGCAGCACAGCUUCUGAUCCAUCGGGAUGAGCCUCGCAGCCAGCCCAGGUGCUGGCAUCGCUGGUGCCCGACGCCCGGCGCUCCUGCCUUGCUCUCGGGCGCCGCGGGGCUGUGGGGGCCCCCGGCCGACGGGGCCUCGGGCGGUCCAGCUGGGGCGGGCUUGGGGCCAGAUGGGCUGCGCGGCGGCAGCGAGGCCAGGGCGGCCGGCCGGGCCGCGCGUUGCCAUGGAGACGGGGGGCGGCGGCCCCGCCCCAGCGGACCGGGGAGCAGGUGGCGGGACGGUGCGCAGGCUGGGGGAGGGGCCGGAAGGGGCCCGCGGGGCCGGGGCGGCCGGGCGCGCCCCCGCUCCUCCGCCUCCUCCCGGCCUCCUGGCGCCCGCUGCUCCCUAGGCGACCCGGGCUCUGCCUGGUAGCUGGAGGCUGGGGCCAGGGGACCGGGCUCCAGUCCUGGCUUGGGCUCUCACUCCUCGGGCAUAUCGGGCAAAUCACCACCUCCAUCCUCCCCCUUCCAGCCUCAGUUUCCCCAACUGUGAAAUGGAGGAGUUGGACCAGGAGCUUUCUAUGGACACUUCAGCGCAUACUACUUUUUCUGGCUCUGGGUUCGGGCCGGGAGGGUUCAGGGCUGGUAAUUUCUCAUCCUCUUCCUGGAUCGCGGCAUCUUCUCAUCAAAUGAUGCCCAUCAUGGGACCCAGAACCUGGAAAUGUGAAAGGUGGAAGAGCCAGCAAAGUCUCGGAACCCAACUUCUCGAAUAUGCAGAGCAGGCAGGGGCAGCCCAGAGAAGAGACCCUCCUGGUUGUCCUGCCAGCACCAUACCUCAUGGUCUCCAUCGUGACUGCGGCACAGCUCUGUGGCUGCCCUGCAAGGAGGUGAGGAGGUUGUGGCCUCCCUCCACCGACUCCCACCCCUAGUAAGUGAGGAGCUGGGCCCUCACCCCGCAGUCUUGCCCGGGAGCUGGGCCUACCUCCGCCCCUCCCCAGCCCCCAGUCCCCUGGGAGGCCCUGCCUUCCUCAGGAAUAAAGCCCCUUUCUCCUUCCUCCAGUAGGACCCAUUUCUGAGCUCUCAAGCCUCAGCCAUGCAGGGGGUGCCUGAGAGGGCUGGGGCUGCUUCUGUCCCCUCAGGCCAAGCGGGAGUCACCCUGGCCAGGCCCAGCUCUGGUUCCCAGCUGAUGUGGUGGGAGGUGGUUCUGGCUGGGGGUGGAAGUGGAGGGGAGCAGGGCCGAGGCGGGGUCUAUGGCUUUAAGGUACAGCUUGCUCCUGGAGCGACACACACACACACACACACACACACACACACACACAGUCUCUCUUGCACAGAGUCACGCAGUCACACAGCCAAACGCACACACACGCCCAGGCUCCGUUCUCUUGCUCUCUCCGUCACCUUUUCUCCACACACAUACACAUACACACACACGCCCAGGCUCUGUUUUCUCUCUCUCUGUCACCCUUUCUACACACACACACACACAAAUAACACACACGCCGAGGCUCUGUUCUCUCUCCCUCCCUGUCCCUCUCUCCACACAGCCCUACACACUCAUUCGUGCACACAGAAGCAUCCACACUCUCUCCCUCUCUCCACAAAGUCUAGUUUCGAAAAACAUGGCCUAGGCCAGGAAGGGCAAGGAGUUCUGACCUAGAAAAUGGGCCUGCCUCCUUCUGUCGCUCCCGGCCGGAAAGGGGGCUUGUUUUCCAAUUUGGUAUCACUGCCCUGGGUCAAGGCUGUGGGGAGAAAUGAACACCCUGCGCAGGGUGGGGUCAGCCUCUUGGAGAGCGGGUGGUGGGGGCUGCUCGCCCUUCUUCCCCUGCUCACUCAAGGCAGGACUCACUUCCAGCACAAAGGAAGCAGGUUUAGGGACAAAAGUAGUUGGGUAGCUUAGUCAUAGAGGGAUGGGCCAGUUGACCUUUGACUUAUGAUGAAGGGGCCCUUGACCCUUCAUAGCUCAUUUUACCUUUAGGCAAAUCCUGGACUUGAAUUCUGCCCAAGGCUCUGGGAUGAGAAGUCCCUCCUCCUUCUUAACCCAAAUCCUGCUUAGUGUAGUUCCAUGUAGAUGCUGGGAUGCUCUCCCUGUGUCACUCCCAGUCUUCUCACCUCAAUUUCCUCUGACUAUUUAUGGGGAACUCCUAUUUAUCCUCCAAAGCCCAACUCCUAUUUAUCCUUCAAAGCCCAGUUCAAAAGUCCUCUCAAGUUGAGAGCUUUCCCUGCCUCAGUCCCUUGGACAGAAUGAGUGCCUAUUUCUCCUGGGCAUCUGGGUUCUCUGCACUUUCUGCAGUUCUAACACUUCUAUAAUUUCAUGAGCAAGUGGGUACCUGACCUCUGGAUGCUGCUUUUCUCACGUUAUUUCAUUUAUUCCUCACGCCCUCUCUGCUCCUCUGGUGGAAUAGGAUCCCCCGUCAACACACAGGAAUCCUCCGGCUCCGCUAAAUCAGCUGACAUCUGAACAGGACUGGAGCCCACAUCUACCUUGUGGUAGCUCUCGGCCUUUCGGCUGCCUCUAACUACUCUUCAUGUGCACCUUUCCCUACAGGAGACUCAGCAGAGGGGGCGGAAGCCCGCGAAAGGAGCCGAAGGGGUAGGAACUGAUGUCCCCACCGUGGCCACUCCGUCUACCCUCCUCAGUUCAGCAAAGCUUUACCGAGCACUUCUUUGUACAGACCCUGGGAUAUAGAGACUAAAUAGACACGGUGUCCUCCUCUGUGCGGACAACAGGCACAUAAGCAGGCAAGGAUGACCUAGGGCCGGGAUGCUGAGGAAGCUGGGAUCCCACAGGAAGCCUGACUCAGGACAGGGAACUGGAGAGACUGAGACAGGGCUUCCUAGCAAUGGUGACAGGGGAGCUCGGAGGAGCAGGAGUCAGCCAGGUAGAGGGGGCAUAUGGAAGGACAAUUUGGGGAUGACACUGAAAGACCUUGAGUAUCACAGAAGGAGCUUCGCCUUUAUCCCAGGGCUGAAGGAAGUCCUCAUAGGUCUUUGGCUUCACUGGCCCUACCCCCAAAUGGCUGCCAGGUCAGACAUUCUAUGUAGGGCCCUCCUGACAGCUGCUCUUGACUCUGGGGGUGUGGGAGUCCCAGAAUUCCAUCCUCAGAAUCAGAAGGAGGUUGACAAUGCCUCAGGACCAGCCCCCCACUUGGGGUUCCUUCCUCAUCCCCACGGGCGUGGAGGGCGUGGCCAAGGUGUUGCGGUGGCAUUGAAGUUUGCUAAGGGAAGUUACUCGGCAAACAGAGUUGAGUCCAUCACUAAAUGCCUGGUGAAAUUCCUACCUUCUUACGCUUUUUAAAAAAGAUAAACAGCAGCACCUAGACCGUAAAGUCAGUUUCCUAGAAAAGUGGCUGAUGUUAGAACUGAAGAGUCGAGGUGCCCCACCCAGGAUUUCUCUCAAGUCUGGUCAUUGGCAUCUCCUCCAGGAUUUCUGCAAUAUCUUUUUACCUCAUCUGCUUAGUGUUUUUCUUUAAAUUAACUCACUUUUACAAAACUUUAUUUAACAAGGAAUCUGUAUCUGUACUUUAAAUGUUUUGGCUUUCCCAAAACAGAAGGUAAAUAUAAAAAUAAGCUCAAUGAAAACAAAGCAAUUCUACCUUAGAUGAUCAGGCCUGCUAGGAGGCCUCUCUGCUAUAAGGGGAGAUUAGCAACGUCAGAGAGGUGUUAAA